Molecule: non-coding RNA, 208 nt
Organism: Pelobates cultripes (western spadefoot toad)
Lineage: Eukaryota; Metazoa; Chordata; Amphibia; Anura; Pelobatidae
Source: the annotation of a GenBank genome assembly
GCGCAAGGGAGCUAAGAGUGAGCGCACAGAGGAGAGUGCUCCCUCGAGCGCCCGCCAGCCUGGUGACACCAGGGCCUGGCUCGGGGGACCACCUCCUGGGUCCACUGUAAGAGGCAGUGGCGUACAUACUGGGGUCGCGGCUGCGACCGGGCCCGGCCCACCAGGGGGCCCGGCCGGCCUGCGACCCGGUAUGUAUGCCACUGUGGCC